ACUGCUGGAUAUCCACGUGAUGUUGCUGUGUGCAGAUUGGCAGGAAACACCUUUUAAGCUUGGGAGAUGCCGCAGGUUCAGCAUUGGUGCAGAUGGGCUGAUCCAUGGCUGGUGAGGACUGCAAGGAGCAGCAGCCGUAGCCUGCAGCUGAGAUGGUGCACAGGAGGGGGACGAGGGGAGGUGAUGCUUGCCAGAUGCCCACACAGCAGCUUAGGGCUACAGCCAGGAAUGGGACUUGUGUUUCCUUUCCCAGAGCACCGACUGCCCCGCUAAUGGAGCAGCAAGUGGCUUACAGCGACAGAGGUGCCCGAGUCCUGUCAGAAAAGCAGGAGUAGCUGAGGAAAAGUCCUCCCUCCCCAGGCUGCCGAGAUGGUAUGUGUCCUUCCAAAUAACAAAGUCUCCUCUCUCCUUUCUCCUCAGCUUCUGCCUCUCCUAGCCUCAGGGGGACUCCAGAGGUGGCCCCCGGUGGCAUACAGCACCAGGGAAGAGAGCGCUGCAAGACCUGUUGGGCAGUACCUGGUACCCAAUAAGAAGGACAUGCCGUAUGACAUUGUGGACCUUACGGAGGAAAUAGGAAUGAAGUGGCAGAACAGUAGGCUUAAUGCAGAACUGUGUAUAAGGGGAAAAAGAGGGAACUGGACAAGAGUUUCCUUCCUUGCUGUUGCGGAGAAGGAAUGCCACACAGUCCUUCCUGAUGGCUAAAACACUCCACCAGCCACAGCUCUGUGCAGACUUCUCUCUUCCAAGAGCUUCCUCUCAGACUGGAUUUCUGCCCAGUGUGUUGAAAGCCAUGUCUCACUGACCUGUUGAAUUCAGAGCUCUUUUUGCUUAAUACAACGCAUUAUGAACAAAGACACAGGUCACUGUGAACUGGAAACUGGUUGACCUGAGUGACCGGGACCUGGCAAUGCUGGAGUUUGCUCUUGCAGUCUGUCAAGCUGAUAACAUCACUGAAGAGCAUUUCCAGAAGCUGGAGAGGCAUGGUUUUGACCAUGAAGAUGCCUGGGACAUAGGCAUGAUUUCUGCUUUUUUUGCUAUGUCUAACUGUAUAGCUCAUUAUAUUGACCUACGCCCAAACACGGAAUUCUGCGCUGUGGGCAGGAUGUCCUGUGGAGAGAAGGAAAAGGAAGAAGCUGAGUGUGCCUGACAUGGCUCUCCAAUGCCUACGUAUCUGAAAGACUGAUCAAGCUCUUAAUUCUCAAGCUAGAGUGGCUUAUUUCUCAGUAUGUAAAAGGACUAAAAAGCUAAUACCAGAUUGUAGCCAUGAGGGAUGGUGGGCUUCCCUCUUCCUCAGCGUUUGAGCCGACUCUAGCGCUUCUGCGCUCCUGGCACAGCUGGAAGAGCAUAGCUUUGGUUUCGGCACUGGCCGCACAGGUAACAAGCGGGCUGGGUCACGAGGUGACUUAAAACAAGCUGUUCCAUGGCACUGUGCCAGCUCUGCGGUGUGAGACCUAAUACACGUCAUUACGGCC
Molecule: long non-coding RNA, 1472 nt
Organism: Aptenodytes forsteri (emperor penguin)
Lineage: Eukaryota; Metazoa; Chordata; Aves; Sphenisciformes; Spheniscidae
Exons: 4
Source: RefSeq, a predicted model, not a curated record